UGAACACAGCAUUUGGCACAGAGGGUACAAAUGUUGCCUUCCACUCGCUGCCCGUGGUUUUGGCUGGAGAGGGUUGUUGACUGAAGUGUGCUAACACCUCCCCAGUGCUCCUGCAGGUCUGCCUUGUCUGGAAUGCGAUGUUAUCCUAAACUCACCGCAAAGCGUGAGUGUGAACAUCCUAAACAUUCAUUUGUUCUGCAGCAUGGAAAAUGACAGUGAUCUUAAGAUGAAAGGAAUGCUGUGAGCCUAAACGAUGUGGAGUAAUAAGGAAAAGAUGGAGAUUCCUAUUCUGAUCUUCGAUCGUGUAGAGCCCCGUAAACAAUGCUGUAAAACUGGGGCAAUGCUUUCUGUGACUGAGCUGAAGAACAUGAAGCACUGUGGCAGGAGCGAAACAGAUACUACAGGGUAAAACUGCAUCAAGUUUUUUGGCAAAAGGAAAUGAACAACCAGCUACAAAAUAGUAUGGUUGGAGAAAGACACGGAAGGUGCUCAGUGCUGGAGUAGAGGCACUGGAGAACGUGGAGCAGCUGGAGUUUGAAGUAUGCUGCGAGUUUCUCUGUGCAACUUAGAUGGAGCAGAUCUGCUCUUGAAUUAAGAGAUUAGGAAAUGUACUGUACAGCUGCCACUGUGCUAGCUGGACCAGCUGGCUGUGGUCUUUAUUUAAAGGCUUGCUUGAGCGUGGGAAGAGCAGUGCAGACUCGGGCUGGAGCUUCCUUUGCCCUCUGCUGGCCGAGGCCAAGCACAGAGCAGAUGCUGUUGUGUCAGCGCCAGCACCGUCUAGAGCCCGCAGCGGUCCAGCAAGUCCGUAGGUGUGGGGAGACGAGGCUAUUUGCAAAGCCGAGACUAGUGAAAGUGUAAUGGAGAAGUUAAUGCCAAAAUAAAAUCAUAUCAUAGUCAAGGGCUUCAUCUGGAUACAGCAUUCUCUGUUCAAAUUGAGUUUUUGCACCGUGAUCUGGCUGUAAGUUUUGUUCAGAGAUGAUUUUACGAACGUUUUUGAGGUGUUUGUCAGAGUAGGAGAGGGAAAGGCAGCACAGGCUGAGAGACAGAGUGCUUCCCAGUGGCACUGGGACGUGCUUUAAUGGUGUGAAAUACUGCAGGUUGGGUUUGCCUCUUGAAUUUUGAUUCAGCUAAACAUAAAUUCUCUUUUAACUGACUGUCCUUUGUCUCAGGAGUGUAGUAUAGUGGUUUUUUGACAGUCUUCAGAGGAACAUUUUUCAGUAAGGUCUAAUAUAACCUAGCCGCAUUUCCUAAAAUACUGCAGUCUCUCUCUUCCUUGCUCAUUAAACUACAGGUGACUUCUGGGCUGUUCGCAUUUAGGCAGUGAAUUUAAGACAGAUCUUAUAUUAAGCUGUGCAUACGACACGGAUUGUCCUCCUGGCAUGCACUAGGACUGCAGCAAGCUAGAUCAUUUCUCCUGGGCGAUAUUUACAGGGAGGGAUGCUCCAGAUCAAUAUAAAUUUUUGCUAGUCAUUGCUCUCAGAGCAGUUUUGU
Long non-coding RNA from Dromaius novaehollandiae (emu), 1491 nucleotides. RefSeq lists it as uncharacterized. The record is from RefSeq and is a predicted model, not a curated record. NCBI's taxonomy places the organism in Eukaryota, Metazoa, Chordata, Aves, Casuariiformes, Dromaiidae. The transcript has 3 exons.